GUUAGGUACUAUGAUUUCCAUCUCCAUUUUACAGACGAGGGAACUGAGCUGUCAAAACUAAGUGACUUGAUUGAGGCCAUGCAGCUGGCGAGGGGAGGACCAGGAUCUGAACCCAACUGGGUCUCCCAAGCCUGGGCCACUGAACCAUUUCACCUCUUGGAAAAACUUAAUGGUCAGAGUGGCCCACCCAGUCCAUGGACAGCAUGGAGGAUAAACUGCUUCCCUAGAAAUCCUCUCCAGCAUUCUUGCCACCACGACUUUGGGACACAUUGACCAUGAGGAGGAGCUGGUCAAUGAUGGACAGGAGUCCAGAUUAGCAGAGAUGUGGUAAUAAGGACACCGAUGCCUAAAUACUUGAAAUAUCCAAUAGGAAGCAUUCCACCUUUGUGCAAAUGCGAACCACAUCUCACCAAGUUCAGGCCAAGGCUGCCACCGGUGACGUUUUGGAAAAGAAAAAAAAAAGCGGGGGGAGAGGAGAGAAACAGAGAAGCAAGGAAUGCAGAAGAGAGCAGAGGCCACAAAAACAGCAGCAACGUGUCCUGUGUAUUCUGUUUCCUUGUAAAACUAUGAAGCAUGUUAAGGAGAUACUUCAUUUUUUGAGGAUUCAUACUCUUGUUUAUAUUAUAAUAAAAACAACCCAUGUUCUUUCUAAAAAUUUAGGCAAUGCCUUCGUGCACAUAAAAGUAAAACAAAAUCACCUGUAAUCCUACCACACGCAGAUCAGCACUUGCUAAUCUUUUCACAGGGAUCCUAAGAAUAUCCUAUUCUCUAUAGAAUAUAGUUGAUUUAUGUUACCUAAUAACUAACUGUUAACCAUUUUAAAAUUCUUCAGUUUUACAUUAUGCUAGAAAAAAGGAGCCGUCACUCUACGUGACAUUUCUGUAUAUUGGUUUAUUCAUUCAAUAAACAUUUUUUAAGUACCUACUAU
RNAcentral lists this long non-coding RNA (928 nucleotides) under Homo sapiens (human). RNAcentral's name for it is "non-protein coding LINC01102:17". The record is from RNAcentral. Lineage: Eukaryota; Metazoa; Chordata; Mammalia; Primates; Hominidae.